Molecule: long non-coding RNA, 2660 nt
Organism: Cucumis melo (muskmelon)
Lineage: Eukaryota; Viridiplantae; Streptophyta; Magnoliopsida; Cucurbitales; Cucurbitaceae
Exons: 4
Source: RefSeq, a predicted model, not a curated record
UCUCUCGGCUGGAUGCUUAUGCUUGAUUUGAGGAAGCGAAACACGUGAUGUUCUUGGAGUUGGAGUCCUGGAAGAAAGACUGGAUCUUUAAAGAAGUUUCAAUCUUUGAAGAAGUUUCAAUCUUUGAAGGUGUUCUUAAAGUUGUAUCUUCAAAGGAGCUUCAAUCUUUGAGGGUAUUUGAUUUCAGGAGUUGAAGAGUCUUUUAUCUCUUGGGGAUAAUUCUCUCUAUACCUUCUGAAGUUCAAAAUUCCCUCUUCACAAAUAAAGAGAACUCCUCUGUUUAUAGUAUAGAGUUCCCUGGUGGGCUUUUAUGGACUUGAACUUGGUCUGGUUCAUGGACCAUAGCCAUAAGCUCAAUGACAUGUAUUUGGGUCCUAUUUUAUUUUGGGCUAAACUAAACUUAUUUUUUUUUUGCUCAAUUGAAUUUUAGCCAAGUAAAUAAUAUUUAAUUAAACCAAAAUAAUUAAUUUGAUCCAUUGAACUAAGAAUUGUCCAAUUUGUUAAUCCCACAUACAAUUAUUUUAGUAAAUGAUUAGGUAAUUUAUGAUAUUAAAAUUUCUUAUUUAAUGAUAGAAAUAAAUAAAUAAAUUUGGUUAUCCAAAUCUAAAAAAAAAGAAAGAUGGAUUCGCAUCAAUACUAAGAGAAAGACGAUAAAAAUAUGGAGAAAAAGAUGGAGGGAGAAAUCGUAAAUAUUUUUAUUAUAUUUAUGAAAGUUCCUUUUCUAAAAUAUCGCACGUUUUCUCUUUUUAUAAAAAAUAUUUUUUUAGAUUUUCUCCUCAUUUUCAACAUUCUCUAAAACUUUUCCUCCCAUUUUCCCAAUACCCCCGACUUCAUCUUCACCAUAGCCCUUCCCCUGACUUCAUCAUGCACGCCGUCGCCAUCGCCAUCGCUGCAACUCCACGUCGCACGCCGCCGCCAAGUUUCUUCACGUCUCUGAUUCUCUGGACCUCUCUAUCGAAUCGACGCUGUGGGUUUGUUGAUAAAUGGUGUGGGGUUCGUGAGGCGAGGUUUUCUAGCGUAGGAUAUUAGGAGAGCUGCUCGUUGGUAGCAUUUGGGCAAUAAGGUUCAGAAGUUCUAAUCCAUGGAGCUGCAAUUUUUUUGGUAUGGUUUCCAUUGUUAAAUAUAAUUUGUGUGUUUUCGAAUGUUGCUUAAUUAUGUAUGGAUAUCUUUCAGUUCAAUAAUAUUGCAAGAUUUUGAAUAAUAUGGUUGCACUCAGCAAAACCUGAAGUACGCUUAAGGGGAUUGUUAGAGAUAGUUCAUUAAAAUGGUUGUUAGGGAAGUGAAGCUUUUUUGAUGAAGAACUUGAAGAAAUGGAAAGGUCUUCUUCUGCUCAAAGAAAUUGGAUAAGUGAGCUCUCUCCAUUUGUCAAACUGGUUGUUCGGAGAUGUACAAAGUUAGUUUUUCAUAGCUUGUUCUGUUCUUGUAGAAAAAGAUCAGAUUUUUUCCUCCUGUAUAGUUGGUGGUUUUUAUGUUUCUUUAUAACCAUUACUUGAAGAUCAUUUAUACUAGGUUAGUAAAUUAGUGUUCAAGGAUUUGAAUGAAUUGAUGUUCAAUCCAUUACAAUGUCAAAUAUGCAUAAUCCUUGAUUCAAUAAAGGUUCCCUCAAAUUAUGCAAGAAAGUUUCUGGAGUAUUGCUAUUUCUUUGGUUUACAACUAUUUUCUUCACCAUAAGCUCUCUGGUUUCCCUCUAUUCAAAGCUCCAAAAGAUUAGUUUGGUGCAUUUCACCAUGAUCUUGUUAGUGUUGUUGUUCAUCCCAAUGGGGAUGAAGUUAUUGUUCUAUUACUCAAGGUGAAUGCAAGUUCCUUGAUAAUGUACAAACUUGGGUUCCUAUAUGAAAUUGAGAUUUACAUUGAUUUUUUCAAAUGGUAAUUCCACAUGAAUUUCUUAUUUGUUUUAUAUUACAUGGGACGUGUGCUUCUUACUUUAGGAUUUGUGAUAUUUUGAAGAAGAAUCAGCUGGGGCUUUUGAGCUUAACCUUUGACUACUACUUUAAAUUGAAGAAAUUGGCAUGGAUUGGCUAGAUGUUGAAAUGCAACGUGGUAUUGUUAAAAGAUUGGAGACUUAGUACACAAGAAGAUUAAAGAGAAAGGAAGUUGAUCAUGAAAAAUUGCAAGAUGAAGGAGAGAGGAGGUGUAAAUCACUCAAGUUUCAGCUUAAAGCUGCAGGAAUUAAACAAAGAACAAGAGAGCCUAAUAGAUUUUUCUUUGAGGAGAGAGAUCGAAGAGAAAUCGAGGAGCGUAAUCUGCGGAAGAAAAGCUUCAGGAAGCAUCUAACACUAUCCAAGAACUGCAGGACAAGAUCAAAAUUCUAGAAAAAAGGUAAGAGACUUCUUGUGGAUGAUUGGACCAUAAACUUGUUUUGUAGGUCGGCUUUGAGAGUUAAGACACUCUUUAGCACAUUCUUAGUUGGAUUUUAGUUUCAAAAUCACACUUGGGACAUGUAAGUGUUGUUUUGAGAGACAAAAUGUCACCUAGACAUUUUUUGGGAACUUAAGUUGGUUUUGGGUUCGAAACAUAUAUGAGAUUUUUUGUUAUAAAGUACAUAGGUCAUUUUUUUUACACUUAACGGGUAUAAAUGUAAUUUUACUUCAUUUAUUUUGAUACUUGAUUCAUUUAAACAAGUAGAUAAGAUUUAACAUGAUCUUAUUCAUUUUGAUGUA